Molecule: ribosomal RNA, 1150 nt
Filed under: Acinetobacter sp. EMM 02
Lineage: Bacteria; Pseudomonadati; Pseudomonadota; Gammaproteobacteria; Moraxellales; Moraxellaceae
Description: bacterial SSU rRNA
Rfam family: Bacterial small subunit ribosomal RNA
Source: RNAcentral
AGCSGCAGCUUACACAUGCAGUCGAGCGGAGUGAUGGUGCUUGCACUAUCACUUAGCGGCGGACGGGUGAGUAAUGCUUAGGAAUCUGCCUAUUAGUGGGGGACAACAUUUCGAAAGGAAUGCUAAUACCGCAUACGUCCUACGGGAGAAAGCAGGGGAUCUUCGGACCUUGCGCUAAUAGAUGAGCCUAAGUCGGAUUAGCUAGUUGGUGGGGUAAAGGCCUACCAAGGCGACGAUCUGUAGCGGGUCUGAGAGGAUGAUCCGCCACACUGGGACUGAGACACGGCCCAGACUCCUACGGGAGGCAGCAGUGGGGAAUAUUUGGAUCAAUGGGUCGCAAGCCUGRUAUCACCAUGCCGCGUGUGUGAAGAAGGCCUUAUGGUUGUAAAGCACUUUAAGCGAGGAGGAGGCUACUGAAGUUAAUACCUUCAGAUAGUGGACGUUACUCGCAGAAUAAGCACCGGCUAACUCUGUGCCAGCAGCCGCGGUAAUACAGAGGGUGCAAGCGUUAAUCGGAUUUACUGGGCGUAAAGCGCGCGUAGGCGGCUAAUUAAGUCAAAUGUGAAAUCCCCGAGCUUAACUUGGGAAUUGCAUUCGAUACUGGUUAGCUAGAGUGUGGGAGAGGAUGGUAGAAUUCCAGGUGUAGCGGUGAAAUGCGUAGAGAUCUGGAGGAAUACCGAUGGCGAAGGCAGCCAUCUGGCCUAACACUGACGCUGAGGUGCGAAAGCAUGGGGAGCAAACAGGAUUAGAUACCCUGGUAGUCCAUGCCGUAAACGAUGUCUACUAGCCGUUGGGGCCUUUGAGGCUUUAGUGGCGCAGCUAACGCGAUAAGUAGACCGCCUGGGGAGUACGGUCGCAAGACUAAAACUCAAAUGAAUUGACGGGGGCCCGCACAAGCGGUGGAGCAUGUGGUUUAAUUCGAUGCAACGCGAAGAACCUUACCUGGYCUUGACAUAGUAAGAACUUUCCAGAGAUGGAUUGGUGCCUUCGGGAACUUACAUACAGGUGCUGCAUGGCUGUCGUCAGCUCGUGUCGUGAGAUGUUGGGUUAAGUCCCGCAACGAGCGCAACCCUUUCCUUAUUUGCCAGCGAGUAAUGUCAGUACCUUUAAGGAUACUGCCAGUGACAACUGGAGGAAGGGCGGGGGACGA